CACGCCGUAACGAUGAUCACUCGCUGUUGGCGAUACACAGUCAGCGGCUAAGCAAAAGCAUUAAGUGAUCCACCUGGGGAGUACGGCCGCAAGGCUGAAACUCAAAGGAAUUGACGGGGGCCCGCACAAGCGGAGGAACAUGUGGUUUAAUUCGAUGAUACGCGAGGAACCUUACCUGGGCUUAAAUGUAGAGUGCAUGAGGUAGAAAUACUUCUUCCCUUCGGGGCUCUUUGCAAGGUGCUGCAUGGUUGUCGUCAGCUCGUGCCGUGAGGUGUCGGGUUAAGUCCCAUAACGAGCGCAACCCUUAUCGUUAGUUACCAGCGGGUCAUGCCGGGAACUCUAACGAAACUGCCGGUGUAAACCGU
This 365-nucleotide ribosomal RNA is filed under the name uncultured bacterium. RNAcentral describes it as "bacterial SSU rRNA". It matches the Rfam family "Bacterial small subunit ribosomal RNA", at positions 796 to 1166 of the family's 1533-position model. The record is from RNAcentral.